GGAAGCGUGGCAGAGCGGCCGAAUGCACUCGCCUUGAAAGCGAGCGUCCCGCGAGGGACCGGGGGUUCAAAUCCCUCCGCUUCCG
Molecule: transfer RNA, 85 nt
Filed under: Amycolatopsis arida
Lineage: Bacteria; Bacillati; Actinomycetota; Actinomycetes; Pseudonocardiales; Pseudonocardiaceae
Description: Pseudonocardiaceae bacterium RA45 tRNA
Rfam family: tRNA
About the family: Transfer RNA (tRNA) molecules are approximately 80 nucleotides in length. Their secondary structure includes four short double-helical elements and three loops (D, anti-codon, and T loops). Further hydrogen bonds mediate the characteristic L-shaped molecular structure. tRNAs have two regions of fundamental functional importance: the anti-codon, which is responsible for specific mRNA codon recognition, and the 3' end, to which the tRNAs corresponding amino acid is attached (by aminoacyl-tRNA synthetases). tRNAs cope with the degeneracy of the genetic code in two manners: having more than one tRNA (with a specific anti-codon) for a particular amino acid; and 'wobble' base-pairing, i.e. permitting non-standard base-pairing at the 3rd anti-codon position.
Source: Rfam by way of RNAcentral